GGAUAGGCUUUCCAUGCUGUAAAUACUUGUGGAAACUAUGCUUAACAGCAGCACGCGCAAGCUUCUCUGUGUCAACAUUUGCAGCACGUAGAGGUGACAACAACCCAGGUGGAAGAUCUGGAUACUUAGAAAAAUGUUCUUUUGUGAUCAUAAAGUUAAGAACAGAGUCACCCACAUACUCGAGCCGCUCAUAAGAUAUACAGUCCUUGUGAUACGACGUAUGUGUAAAAGCUUGCCGCAAUAAAUUCCGAUCAUUAAAGUCGUACCCUAUGAUUUUCUGUACUUCCUCAACAUUUUGUGAUAUGUCAUCUUGCGAUGUCGUUUUUGUUGCCUCCUCAUUUUCCAGGAUGCCUGGCAGGAACCUAUUUAAAACA
RNAcentral lists this unclassified non-coding RNA (374 nucleotides) under Hevea brasiliensis (rubber tree). The record is from RNAcentral. Lineage: Eukaryota; Viridiplantae; Streptophyta; Magnoliopsida; Malpighiales; Euphorbiaceae.